This is a long non-coding RNA of Patella vulgata (common limpet), 1865 nucleotides long. RefSeq lists it as uncharacterized. The transcript has 3 exons. The record is from RefSeq and is a predicted model, not a curated record. Lineage: Eukaryota; Metazoa; Mollusca; Gastropoda; Patellidae.
GUUGGUGUAGUGUCAUUCUUUUGAUAGUUUCUGGUGUGUCUUGGUAGAUAAAUCUAAAUAUUUCUUUAUUUAUAGAUUUUAUAAUGUUUUUUGCUGGUGUAAUAAUUCGGCAUGUGUACCAGAGUUUACCGAGUAUUUUUUGAUGGAUUUAGUUUUGAUCCAGAAGCAGAGCCAGAGGAUUCUAUGUCUUCUAUAAGGUGUGAGUUCACCUUUGAGAUAGAUGUUGUUCAACACCUUCACAAAGUCAUCUCCUAUUAUGUUCCAGAAAGUUAAAUAGAAUGAUGCCUGGAGACUUGUUAUUUUUAAAUUGUUUAGGGCGCUUAGGGCUUCUUCAUUUGUGAUCAAAUGUGAUAUUAGUUCUCUAUCUUCAUUUGUAAUUUGUAAUAGGUUAUUUUUGUUUAAAUAUGUAUCUAUUGUAUAGGGGUUUAUGUGUUGGGAGGUAUACAGAUUCAUAUAGUAAUCAUGUAUGGUGUUUAGCAUAUCUUGCUUAGUCGUUUGUAUGUCCCCAUCGUUGUUUUGAAGUUGUGUUAUCUUUUUAUUACAAGCAUUCUUUUCUUCUGCUAUUUUGUACAUAUCAGUAUUUGAUUUGUCUGUGAUGUUAAUAUCUAAUUUUGACCGAAUAAUGAUUCUUCAUUUUUAUAGUUUUCAAUCUGGGUAAUGUCAAUUUUAAUUUUGUUAAUUCUGUUUUGUUCUGGGUUCCCGUUUUGUUCUUCACCUUCUAGACAGCUAUAGAGGAGUUUUAAUUUUGAGUGUUUGAUUUUAGAUAUAGUUAUACAGAAGGUUUUUGCAAUUGAUUGAAUUUCUUCUUUUCCUUUGUCCCACCAUUCAUUACUGUGACUGAAUUUCGUUUUCUUAUAUUUCCAAAAUUCCCAAAAUUUGGUUAUGGUUGAUUUAUAAUUGUUGUUUGUGAGUAUUGAAUUGUUAAAUUUCCAGAAUCCUGUUCCCAAUCUAUAGCUGUCUAGAUUAAGUUUUAAAGAUAGAAUUUUAUGAUCUGAUUUUGUGUUAGGAUGGUGGUUUAAGUGUGUAACACUAGUUAGUAGGUUAUUAGAUAUGUAUGCUCUGUCAAUUCGACUAGCACUACUCCUAGUAUUAGACCAUGUAUAUAAUAACUUGUCUGGAAAUUUAUUCCUGAAUACAUCUGAUAUUUCUAUGAGUUUUGUGAUAUUGAUUAGUAGGUCAAUAACUAUCUGGGAAUAGUAGGUAUCAUUUUUGGAAUCAAUCUUAUUUUCUGUUAAAUUAAAAGUCGCCAAUUAGAAUGUAGUAUUCUUUCUCAUUAUAGAUAUUCUUUAUAUGAUUGUAUAAAUUUUGAAAGAAAUUUUGUUUUUCUUUAGUUGAACCGGGAGGGCCAUAUAUAUUCAUUACAUUGGUUGUUUUAUCGUUAAUGUUUAAUGAUAUAUGUUGAUACCUUCCUUGUAGUGAAUUUGGAUAUGUAUAUUCUUUAAAUUCAAUGUCAUUACGGAUGAGCAUGCUUGUUCUGAGAUAGUUAUUGUCAAUAGUAUUUGAUAUAAUUUUAUAGUUACAAUCUUGAUAUAUCUUUGAUUCAUUAAUAAUUUUCGUGUUUGACACUGUUUCUUGUAAACAAAGUAUCUCUGGAUAACUGAAUUUAUCUGUCAGGGUGUUUAUUUUAUCAUCAAAGCCUACUUGGAUAUUAGAGGAUAUGAUAUGUAUGCUUAUAGAGAUAAUCAAGAUUUUAACUAUAGACAUUGUAGAAUAAUAAUUGUAUUGUUAUAUAUAAAACUUAUUAUUCAGUUAUUGGAUUUCUCAUUCUCAAUUUUUUAUCUAUUACAUCUUCAUUACUGCUAAUAUUCCUUUUCUUUGUAUUUUUGUUAUCUUGGAUUUUAACAUAGUCUGCACUGGUACACUCA